Molecule: long non-coding RNA, 276 nt
Filed under: Mytilus galloprovincialis (Mediterranean mussel)
Lineage: Eukaryota; Metazoa; Mollusca; Bivalvia; Mytilida; Mytilidae
Source: RNAcentral
UCAGAAAAGAAGUCUGUUUGUUGACAUUUUUUAUCAAAUUCACUCGAGAAAAAAAAACAAUCAAAUCACGCGAAAAACCGUCACCAUGAUCCAAAUCGGACACUAUACCUUCCGUGAUCGGCGUGUUAAUAGUAGAAUUGAGACAUAAAAAAAAAUAAGUAAAUACUUAUCAAAGGUACCAUGAUUAUAACUUAAUACGCCAGACUCAUGUUUCGUCUACGCAAUUUUCAUAAAUACAUUCAUAAUUUUUUUGUAAUAAAUGCUAGUUUAACCACC